AGAUUGAACGCUGGCGGCAGGCCUAACACAUGCAAGUCGAGCGGCAGCACGGGUACUUGUACCUGGUGGCGAGCGGCGGACGGGUGAGUAAUGCCUAGGAAUCUGCCUGAUAGUGGGGGAUAACGUUCGGAAACGGACGCUAAUACCGCAUACGUCCUACGGGAGAAAGUGGGGGAUCUUCGGACCUCACGCUACCAGAUGAGCCUAGGUCGGAUUAGCUAGUUGGUAGGUAAAGGCCUACCAAGGCUACGAUCCGUAACUGGUCUGAGAGGAUGAUCAGUCACACUGGAACUGAGACACGGUCCAGACUCCUACGGGAGGCAGCAGUGGGGAAUAUUGGACAAUGGGCGAAAGCCUGAUCCAGCCAUGCCGCGUGUGUGAAGAAGGUCUUCGGAUUGUAAAGCACUUUUUAGUUGGAGAAGGUUGUAACUUAAUACGUUGCAACUUUGACGUUACCGACAGAAUAAGCACCGGCUAACUCGUGCCAGCAGCCGCGGUAAU
Molecule: ribosomal RNA, 501 nt
Filed under: uncultured soil bacterium
Lineage: Bacteria
Description: bacterial SSU rRNA
Rfam family: Bacterial small subunit ribosomal RNA
Source: RNAcentral